GCCAGCGCAGUGACGCACGCCUGUAAUCCCAGCAUCUCGGGAGGCUGAGACAGGAGGAUCUCGAGUUCAAAGCCAGCCUCAGCAACACUGAGGUGCUAAGCAACUCAGUGAGACCCUGUCUCUA
RNAcentral lists this small RNA (124 nucleotides) under Marmota monax (woodchuck). Lineage: Eukaryota; Metazoa; Chordata; Mammalia; Rodentia; Sciuridae. The record is from RNAcentral.